CAGUCGCCGCGGGAAUACGUAUGUCACAAGCGUUAUCCGGAUUUAUUGGGCGUAAAGCGCGUCUAGGUGGUUAUGUAAGUCUGAUGUGAAAAUGCAGGGCUCAACUCUGUAUUGCGUUAGAAACUGUGUAACUAGAGUACUGGAGAGGUAAGCGGAACUACAAGUGUAGAGGUGAAAUUCGUAGAAAUUUGUAGGAAUGCCGAUGGGGAAGCCAGCUUACUGGACAGAUACUGACGCUAAAGCGCGAAAGCGUGGGUAGCAAACAGGAUUAGAUACCCGUGUAGUCCCUGUCUCUUAUACA
This 301-nucleotide ribosomal RNA is filed under the name uncultured bacterium. RNAcentral's name for it is "partial 16S ribosomal RNA". It matches the Rfam family "Bacterial small subunit ribosomal RNA", at positions 509 to 808 of the family's 1533-position model. The record is from RNAcentral.